GCUUGCCUGGAUCGUACGUGAGCGUCAUUCAGUUUCAAUUCUCAAUGAUAACAAUAAGGGAUCUCAAUAUAUAUCGUGGAUGACAUGCCCUGGCUAAGGGACGGCAGAAGCGGUGUUGAGGGGGCCCACCUGGAUGCCCAGGGAAUUUUGAAACCGAACCAGCGCCACGGCGAUUUGGGUAAGCC
This 185-nucleotide non-coding RNA is filed under the name Candidatus Sumerlaeota bacterium. RNAcentral describes it as "6S RNA". It matches the Rfam family "6S / SsrS RNA". From Rfam's summary of the family: E. coli 6S RNA was the first non coding RNA to be sequenced, but its function was unknown until recently. It consists of 184 nucleotides that fold into an extended hairpin structure with a large single-stranded internal bulge. Lineage: Bacteria; Candidatus Sumerlaeota. The record is from RNAcentral.